RNAcentral lists this ribosomal RNA (476 nucleotides) under Loma wallae. RNAcentral describes it as "SSU rRNA". It matches the Rfam family "Microsporidia small subunit ribosomal RNA", at positions 834 to 1304 of the family's 1311-position model. The record is from RNAcentral. Lineage: Eukaryota; Fungi; Microsporidia; Glugeidae.
UCAACGCGGGACAACUUACCGGGCCCGACGACCGUAAGAGUGUGACACACGAUAGGUCGAAGAGUGGUGCAUGGCCGUUAACGACGAGUGGAGUGAUCUUUGGGUUAAGUCCGUAAAUUAGUGAGACCUCAGCCGUAAGGGACAGGUGCGCAAAGCACAGGAAGGAUGGGUCAAGGACAGGUCAGUGAUGCCCUUAGAUGGUCCGGGCUGCACGCGCACUACAGUGGUCGCCGAAAUUAGCUGAUAAUUUUAAAGGCGAUCGAGAGGGAAUGAGCUUUGUAAGAGGCUCAGGAACGAGGAAUUGCUAGUAAUCGCGGACUCAUUAAGACGCGAUGAAUACGUCCCUGUUCUUUGUACACACCGCCCGUCGUUAUCGAAGAUGAAGACAGGCGCGAACGAUCUACCAGAAAGUGAGCGCAGGUCUUUAGAUCUGAUACAAGUCGUAACAAGGUAGCUGUAGGUGAACCUGUAGCUGG